This 497-nucleotide ribosomal RNA is filed under the name uncultured bacterium. Its description in RNAcentral is "partial 16S ribosomal RNA". It matches the Rfam family "Bacterial small subunit ribosomal RNA", at positions 28 to 507 of the family's 1533-position model. The record is from RNAcentral.
GAUGAACGCUGGCGGCGUGCCUAAUACAUGCAAGUCGAGCGAACGGACGAGAAGCUUGCUUCUCUGAUGUUAGCGGCGGACGGGUGAGUAACACGUGGAUAACCUACCUAUAAGACUGGGAUAACUUCGGGAAACCGUAGCUAAUACCGGAUAAUAUUUUGAACCGCAUGGUUCAAAAGUGAAAGACGGUUUUGCUGUCACUUAUAGAUGGAUCCGCGCUGCAUUAGCUAGUUGGUAAGGUAACGGCUUACCAAGGCAACGAUGCAUAGCCGACCUGAGAGGGUGAUCGGCCACACUGGAACUGAGACACGGUCCAGACUCCUACGGGAGGCAGCAGUAGGGAAUCUUCCGCAAUGGGCGAAAGCCUGACGGAGCAACGCCGCGUGAGUGAUGAAGGUCUUCGGAUCGUAAAACUCUGUUAUUAGGGAAGAACAUAUGUGUAAGUAACUAUGCACAUCUUGACGGUACCUAAUCAGAAAGCCACGGCUAACUACGUG